Aquila chrysaetos chrysaetos is the source of this 3772-nucleotide long non-coding RNA. RefSeq lists it as uncharacterized. The transcript is spliced from 3 exons. Lineage: Eukaryota; Metazoa; Chordata; Aves; Accipitriformes; Accipitridae. The record is from RefSeq and is a predicted model, not a curated record.
GUGCCAGCGUGUAAGGCAGCGCUGGGCUAUGCUCCCAUGGGGUGUUCAUCCUACCCUUCUGGAUCAUCAUUUUGCAGGAAAAGUGGAGAGUCACUGGAGCAGAUGCCUGGAUUUAAUGUGAAAUUCUUUUUAAGCUUUUGCUUGAGGAAGCUGCCAGGAGCACAGCUACAGUCAAAUAACUCUUUGCAAUGCCAUCAUUACCAGCAACAGGUAUUUAUUGAAAAAAUCAAGUGAACCCUUUUCUAAACAAGUACCGACUCCCUCGUCGGGGAUGGGUAUGUUGGACUGGGACUAGGCUGGGCAGGUUGCACAGAUACAGUGAUCCCUGGUGGCCCUGGCUAAAUGGUAAGAGCCAGGCCCCUUAGCUGUAGGCCUGUCGGUGGGGCAGGUCCUAUUUAUUCAUGUAGGUGGGUUCAAUUGCAAAGUCUUUGUGGCCAGGACUGUUUUCAAUCUGGUGGCUGUGCCCAGAAUAACAGGAGCAGGAUGUCAGUGGGAGCCUCCAGAGCUGCUGCAACACAAAUACUGAUCAGUCUCUAACAGAUAAUGUUUCCUGUCUCCAGCUUUUAAGAGAGCCUUGCGGGCCAAGGGAAUGGAAAUCUUCCUCUCUCUUUUACUGGUUGCGGUCUCCAGUUCAGGCAGGUACAACAGGGAAGCGCCUGUUUGCUGCUCCAUCAGCUCUGGAUGUUCUCCAGAUGCCACUGGGGAGACCCGGUGGGUCCUGAGAAAGAAAAUAUGCCCACGAAGGCUCACUGGAGUGAUUACUAGCUAUCCCACACCUUGGGAAGCCAGUGCUAUCUGUGGCUCUGCCCUGAGGAAACUAGGUACCGACCGGAUAACGGCCAGGCCUGGGUGACAUGGCCGGGCAGAGCGCGACAAGGGAGCCGGGAGGAAGGAAAUGAAGUCAGCCCUGUGAUCCACACCAGAUGCACACUCACGCUUUGCUACGAGCUCACUACCCCCUGACCACGCGCUGCCCUGAUCUGCAGCUACAGCUGCGGGGAGAGCUGCCAAACUUGGCAAGGAUCCGGCCCGUUCCCGAAGCUCCCUUUCAGGCGCGAGGCAGCCCUUUCCCCAGGGCCCCGUGCGGAGCGGUGGUGGCUAAAUGAGUAAUACAGAAAUCUGCCUGCACGGCCAGCCAUAGCACAGUGUCGAAGCAUGGUGAUUUGUACGGACCGGUACGAUCCCUCCCGGGCUUGCGCGGUGGCUGAUGGACAGCCAAGGCUGAAAAUGUUGGGUGGGUAGGUAUCUCAGAAAAUAUUUGCGUUGUUUAUCAGGACAUGAAAAGUCAUGCGGUUUAAAGGAUAUAUCCACCGAGUACAACCAGUAAGUAGUUGCUUAAGAAAGCCUGCUGCUGGGACAACCAAAUCAUGGCCUCAGGGCAAAGAGGGGAGAAGAUCCUGUUCCCUGCAGGUCUGCUGGCAGCAGCCCUGGCUCUGUCCUGAACUCCUGCAGGACUGGGAUGACUGCGACUCCGAUCCCAGGGGCCGUGGCCAAGGAAAGAGGAGGCGAGCUUGGAGAGGUGGCUCCGCGGGAGCUUCUGACACCAGGAGAUGAGGUAAAAGAGCUGGAGCUUGGCCUUUUUACGACUCUUAGUAGCACUGAUUUGUUUGAAGAAGCAGCAGUUGGAAGGAGAGGGAGCGGAGCAGACACAGCUGUGGGCUAGGAGGCCAAAGGAGAAAGAGACAAGACGAGGGAAGACCACUGCUAGGAGACUCAUUUAUCCAAGCCAGCUGCACAUCUCAUGGUGUGUUUGGGUUUUUUUUAAUUGAUUUUUAUACUAACAGACAAUUAGGCUGAUCUAUUUAUUUUUUUGAUGUUUCUCUAGUACUGAGUCAUUUCCUGGGGGGUGGGAAGAAAAUAGCAUUUUUCUCAAAGCUUCGAAACAGUGUUUCAGAGUUUGGGUUGAGGAUUCUUUCUUUCCUUUCUUUCAAUGAAACAGCUACAUUUAAAAAAGCAUGAAAACAAAAAACAGGUUGACAACCCCUAAACUUCUGCCAGAGUUGCUCUUUGCUCACAGAAAUGGGUGUCUGUAACGGGUAGCCCAAAGCAGUGUACAGGGUGAAGGAUGAGACCUGCCAAAGCAGCCAAGCACCAGACUGCCUUGUCAUCAUAUUCACCCGCAGAUGUUGAUGCUUUUUCCAGCUCCUACACACGUCACUGGUGUCGGUGCCUGUCUGCUCCACAGCAUGCUGACCUUUCUUCUGGUUUACACAUCAAAACGGACUGCUUUGGCAGUGGUUUCCAAUUCAGUAAGCCACAUGCCUUUGCACUGUAGUGGACGUAAGGCAAAGCUGGCUAUAGCCCCCAAAGCUUAUGUGUUAGUACAUGCUGUUGGUCUGGAGAAGCCUAGUGUGAAACAGUGGUGAGCCUGGAUCCUUUUUUGCCAGAAAGCUAUAAGUACAAUGGGUUAGUUAGAUCUUUGACUAAUAAAAAUGGACAUCUGCAAUCAAGCUAAUUUGCUAGAGAUUAGAGCCUAAUUAAAAUCAAAGAAGCAAAGGGGCUGCCAGCCUCAGAACUAAGCGCACGCACAGAGCACCGGGCAUUGACAACUAAGAGAUGCACUGGCUUUUUGAAAAUAGACAGCAGUUAACCACCUUGAAGGAGAAGUCACACCACCCAUGAAGCUCCUAAGCACCAACUUCACUCUGUCCUGUCUUUCCUAUGGAUUGGGGACAGGAUACCCACCAGCCAUGGUGGAAAGAACAGCAAAAACUUCCAUUGACAUCGAUGGGUCCUGGACUCAUCUUGUGGCCUUGUUUGUUUGUCUGUUUGUUUGUUUGUUUGUUUGUUACAUAUGCCCUGUAGUACUGGGUGUCCAGAAUGUUUUACGCAUCGUUUCUCAGUGGAGAAGGAAGAAAGCAUCCACUUUCAGAGUCACUGCUUGUACGUCAUGCAGUUGGCAUGUGAGGGACCAUUGCUUUUGGUUGAGCAUUGGCAUCAUUAUGCUGGAAGUCAGAGUCAGUGCAGUUACCUCAGAUCCAGAGAGGCUUAUCUCACUGCAAUUUUUAACUGGUUAUCCUCCCUAAAUAGUAAGCCAUGAAGCCAGUAGUGAGAGGAAAGAAAACUUCUAAAGGUGUGCUCAUUGACCCAGUGAAUAUGGCAGGAAACCACAAAAGCUAUGUUGGGACCAUGGACAAAGCAAACUUGAUCCUGCCUCUACCCCUGGUUUUUCAUGUCUGUCUUUCAUGGCGCUGAUGCUUGUUAGGACCCUUAGCACUGUGUGAUGUGCAAUAACACCUGGAAUUAAGUGCUAGCCUGAAGCGCUAACCCUUGGAAGUCAACAGGCACAUGGUCAACAGCAGGCGCUUGUAAAAUAGAGCCUGUCUGUUGAAAACAGCUUGAUUUCUUAUUCACAACAGAUCAUAUUAACCCAUUCUCAACUAAAUUGGCAAGGGGCAGUGAUUUAACAUUUUAAAACAAAAGGAAGCAAGAGGAUACUGGUGACUAAUUUCCUCCAAAUGACGUCAUGUGGGUCAUCUUCCUCAUAUGUUGUUUGUUUUGCCGAUUAGUCUUUAGGUAGAUAUUCAUAUAUCAACUAUUAUUUUCCACUGUGAAUUGUGGUUUUCUGCCCAGCAGCAAGUCCAGUUUCCAGGGUAAUUGGGAAGCCAACUCCUUUCUAACUACGCAAAAGAUGAACUGUGUUUCCUGCAACUUUAAUGUCUCUAAUGUUAUUGGUUGAGUAACAGCCGGAAGCAACAGUGUCUUCUGUAAGGAAAUAUGCCAACAGUUGUUGCUUAGAAGUGAAUAAAACUUACUUUUUUUUAAAUAAAAA